AUCUUUAUAGCCAUUUCAUCAUUAGGGGUUUUCUUUGAGGAUAUCGGAGAGAACACAAGCUCUUCUUUCUCUCUAAGAGGUCAGCCACCCUAGAGGAAAAUAGCUAGCAAUCUUUCUUCCUCUAGGUCACUCAUCUCUUCCUCAAUGCUCUCCUUGGUGUGGAGACUUAGAGGUUCCCUAUUUUGGGAACUUGGAGAAUCCAUUCCUUCAUCCAUCCAAGAAGUCAUGGAGCCAAGAAGCAAAGUUCCUCCAUCCACAUCCAUGGAGUCAAGGAGCAAGGAGACUAAGGAAAGAAGGCCCUCAAAUGGGUGAAUAUCCUUUGCUAAGCAAAGAGGUGCUUCAAAGGUAUAAAAGUUUCCCAACUCUUUUCUUUAAGAUUUGAGUUGAGUAUUGGUUCACCACAAUUACUAGGCCUUGAAUUUCAUGGGUAAAGUUUUGUUUUUGAGUGCAUACAAGCAUGAUUCCGCCUUUUAAUUGUUAAUUGUAUGCAUAGAUGUUACUCAAAUGAACUAGUUUUCCCAAAUAUUUCCUUCAAGUGGUAUCAGAGCCUAGGUUUAGUAGUUGGUGAAUCCUUUUGGGUUUUGUAGCUCAUAGUCUUUGAUUUGAAUGUUGUAAUUGUUACAAGCUUUAUUCUUACCUCUUUGAAUGUAAAUUUUGCUUGAAAAUUUAUCAUCUCAAUUGUUGUAGAUGUAGUUCAUAUGAGCAUGAAUUUUGGAGUUGGAGCUAAAAGUUGGUGCCAUGUUUAUGGGGAAAUUCGGCCAUAUCAAAAUGG
RNAcentral lists this long non-coding RNA (772 nucleotides) under Malus domestica (apple). Its description in RNAcentral is "long non-coding RNA (MDOM_LNC013155)". Lineage: Eukaryota; Viridiplantae; Streptophyta; Magnoliopsida; Rosales; Rosaceae. The record is from RNAcentral.